AAUCUAUACACAUAUGAGUUUAGCACGUGCGAGGUUGCAAAGCGUGAAGAUCCAACACAUCAACACAUCAAUCUCCAGAACAUGCAUCCUUACAAAAAAUCCUGGAUUACACUGCCGCAUCAAACUCCAGAACAUGCAGCCGAAUUAGCACGGCCGACGGCCAUCAUCUCUCAUGCGAAUUAGCACUGCUGCUCGUCGUUCCCAGCGACCGCACUUCACCAUCUCCAUGCCGCCCUUGCUCACGUGGGCAGAGCCGCCGAGCUUCAGCAUAGACAUAGGAGAUCAAAGGAAGGGGAAGGGAGAGCGUCGCCACCGCUUUCGCCCUUGAUGCGCCGCCGCCAUCGCGCACGACCUGCCCCGCAGUACGAGGUCAAGGAUUGAGAUGAGAUGGGAAAAAUAGAUCGGGAGCGAGCGAAAGACAUAGGCGGAGAACGAUUCGGCUACGCGCGCGUCGGGUGGCUGAGUAUAUCUGCCAGAUUGGAUGUGUUCAGCCAGGUUUUGGAAGCAUAUUCUAUCUUGACUGCCCAUAUCCACGCUUGUGUUUCAAC
This 548-nucleotide ribosomal RNA is filed under the name Triticum aestivum (bread wheat). RNAcentral describes it as "partial small subunit ribosomal RNA". Lineage: Eukaryota; Viridiplantae; Streptophyta; Magnoliopsida; Poales; Poaceae. The record is from RNAcentral.